ACUGGAAUAUUUUUGUGAGCAUUUAAAUUUAGCACUUAAAUAAUUUCUGUGGAAAAUAAAAUUCAUCAUAAGUUUAGUAAACUCGAUUGUGCAUUCAUGCUGAAAUAUGUUUUAUUUUGUGUUGAUUUGUUUUGGUUUGUAUUUUUUUUGUCCUCAAAAUCCUCUUGACAAAGGCUUUGUAAAAACAAAAUAGAAGAAAAAGAAGAAAAAGAAAAGAAAAAGAAAACCCCGGCCUGCUCCCUUUCCCCCCGCGCGCGCAACCGGCCCAGCAGCCAGCCAGCACGCCGUCCCUCUUUCUCCUUUGGAUGACAGGCGGGUCCUGCGCCGUUUAGUCGCUGACCAGUGGGACCCAGACGGCAGCGUCCCUUUCCCCCUUUCCAUCUUCUUCCCCGAGCCGUGAAGGGAGCGGAUGCCUACCACCGGUAGGAAAUCCCGACUCUCCCGGGAUUUUACGCAUGGAGAUGGAAUCCGCCCCUAUAAAGUCCCGAGAUGUUCCCCGCAAUCCUUU
Molecule: long non-coding RNA, 508 nt
Filed under: Sorghum bicolor (sorghum)
Lineage: Eukaryota; Viridiplantae; Streptophyta; Magnoliopsida; Poales; Poaceae
Description: long non-coding RNA (SBIC_LNC000350)
Source: RNAcentral